RNAcentral lists this transfer RNA (62 nucleotides) under Monomorium pharaonis (pharaoh ant). RNAcentral's name for it is "tRNA-Leu". The record is from RNAcentral. Lineage: Eukaryota; Metazoa; Arthropoda; Insecta; Hymenoptera; Formicidae.
UAUGGCAGAUUAGUGCAAAGGACUUAAACCCCUUAAAAAAAGAUUUAUAUCUUUUAUUAAAU